UACGAAGGGGGCGAGCGUUGUUCGGAGUUACUGGGCGUAAAGGGCGCGUAGGCGGCGAUCCAAGUUAGGCGUGAAAGCCCCGGGCUUAACCUGGGAAUUGCGCUUAAGACUGGACUGCUUGAGUGCGGGAGAGGUGAGUGGAAUUCCCAGUGUAGAGGUGAAAUUCGCAGAUAUUGGGAAGAACACCAGUGGCGAAGGCGGCUCACUGGCCCGCAACUGACGCUGAGGCGCGAAAGCGUGGGGAGCAAACAGG
RNAcentral lists this ribosomal RNA (253 nucleotides) under uncultured bacterium. RNAcentral describes it as "partial 16S ribosomal RNA". It matches the Rfam family "Bacterial small subunit ribosomal RNA", at positions 524 to 776 of the family's 1533-position model. The record is from RNAcentral.